UUAUUUAUUUAUUGGGUGCAUUGGGUCUUUGUUGCUGCACGCGGGCUUUCUCUAGUUGCAGGGAGUGGGGGCUACUCUUCGUUGCGGUGUGCGCAGUCUUCUCGUUGCGGUGACUUCGUUUGUUGCCGAGCACGGGCUCUAGGCGCAUGGGCUUCAGUAGUUGUGCCACACAGGCUCAGUAGUUGUGGC
Aethalodelphis obliquidens (Pacific white-sided dolphin) is the source of this 189-nucleotide long non-coding RNA. RefSeq lists it as uncharacterized. Lineage: Eukaryota; Metazoa; Chordata; Mammalia; Artiodactyla; Delphinidae. The transcript is spliced from 3 exons. The record is from RefSeq and is a predicted model, not a curated record.